Molecule: unclassified non-coding RNA, 292 nt
Filed under: uncultured Enterobacteriaceae bacterium
Lineage: Bacteria; Pseudomonadati; Pseudomonadota; Gammaproteobacteria; Enterobacterales; Enterobacteriaceae
Description: contains 16S-23S intergenic spacer region
Source: RNAcentral
GGACUACACGGGUUUCUAAUCCUGUUUGCUCCCCACGCUUUCGCACCUGAGCGUCAGUCUUCGUCCAGGGGGCCGCCUUCGCCACCGGUAUUCCUCCAGAUCUCUACGCAUUUCACCGCUACACCUGGAAUUCUACCCCCCUCUACGAGACUCAAGCUUGCCAGUAUCAGAUGCAGUUCCCAGGUUGAGCCCGGGGAUUUCACAUCUGACUUAACAAACCGCCUGCGUGCGCUUUACGCCCAGUAAUUCCGAUUAACGCUUGCACCCUCCGUAUUACCGCGGCGGCUGACAC